Molecule: small RNA, 113 nt
Filed under: Marmota monax (woodchuck)
Lineage: Eukaryota; Metazoa; Chordata; Mammalia; Rodentia; Sciuridae
Source: RNAcentral
GCUGGGCGCAGUGGCAUGGGCCUGUGCUCCCAGCUACUAUGGGGGCUGAGGCAGAAGGAUCACUUGAGCCCAGGAGUAUGAGGCCAGUCUGGGCAACAUAGACUCUGUCUUAA